CUGGCAACCCUCCUAGCACGUGUGAAAAACUCAAAGAAGAAGACGAUGACUUUGCAGUCGACAAGUCCCAUUUCUGUCGAGUCCGUAAGUAACUAGGUUUUUCCUAUGGAAAUUAUAGCAAGUCACAGUAAAAUCUUGUAGCCAAAACAACAAGAACAACCAGAUGGGCCUGGAGUUUUUCACCCAGACGUGGACAUGAUUCUGAAGCCGGUGCUCGACAGUUCCUCGGACUGGGUCUCCGGCGAUGAGGAUAAGUGUUACGGCAUGAUUCACGCCGUGGCGUGAUUGAUAUGCGCCUAAAGUGUGAGAGAGGAGACUUCGAAUUGUGUCAAAAUGUCUCCUGUAACUGUCAGAGAACCCUGCCAGUGGGCCUCAGCGACGUGUGGAGCACGUCCAAUGUGAAGAUCUUCUGCCCUCGCUGUAACUACACUUACCGUCUGCGAUCCGGUACAGAGCUGGACGAAGCCAUGUUCGGGCCCAGCUUCCAACUUCUUCAUGCAGCUGCCGAACUUAAGACCGCCCCUGGACGUCCACCGGUAAGUAAUUCUUCGAAUAUAGUCCUGGUUCUUUUCUACAGAAAGAGCUUGCACUUGCAGUACCUAGGCUUACGGUUGCAUCAGAAGGCCUUAAUGCCACUCGAAUCGCCCAAGUCCUCGCCAAAGAAUAUCGGAUACACCGUCAACAAGUUCUCCUCCUCACUCAGUGCAUUCCAAAGUCAAUCGCUUCAAGGAUUUCCAGGAAUGACCUCAAUUUUUAACUCCUCACGAGAGAGAGCAGAAAUGUUUGUCCAAUAUCUUGUUGUUGCAAUUAAACAUAUUCCGCAGUGCGUUGAUAUGGCCAGCUACCACCUACUCACACACCUCAUACUCCUCUGCCCUUAAUACU
Drosophila melanogaster (fruit fly) is the source of this 885-nucleotide non-coding RNA. The record is from Ensembl. NCBI's taxonomy places the organism in Eukaryota, Metazoa, Arthropoda, Insecta, Diptera, Drosophilidae.